Molecule: unclassified non-coding RNA, 1076 nt
Filed under: Hevea brasiliensis (rubber tree)
Lineage: Eukaryota; Viridiplantae; Streptophyta; Magnoliopsida; Malpighiales; Euphorbiaceae
Source: RNAcentral
UUCACUUCUUGUCCCUCUUCCACCUCCACACAUUUGUGACACAAGGGCUCAGAUUUCCACCUAAAAAAAAGACACUUUAAACCACCGUACACGGCGUUCUCCGCCGUUCAUUUCACCGGAAACCAACCAAAAUUUGAAAAAAAAAGGCUUAUGAUGUUGCGUGACGUGUCAUCUUGCAAUACAUACAAUUACGGUGAUGCCCUUUACUGGGAUUCACGGUAUGUUCAAGAAGCAGGUUCUUUUGAUUGGUAUCAACGUUAUUCUGCUCUUCGCCCGUUUGUUCGCCAUUAUGUUUCUACAUCUUCAAGGGUACUCAUGGUUGGCUGUGGAAAUGCUGUGAUGUCGGAGGAUAUGGUUAAGGAUGGAUAUGAAGAAAUAGUGAAUGUUGAUAUAUCAACAGUAGCUAUUGAUAUGAUGAGAAGGAAGUAUGAGGACGUUCCGCAGAUGAAAUACUUGCAAAUGGAUGUCAGAGAUAUGAGUUUCUUUCCUGAUGAAUCAUUUGACGCCGUCAUUGAUAAGGGAACCCUUGAUUCAUUAAUGUGUGGUACCAAUGCUCCAAUGUGUGCUGCACAAAUGCUGGGGGAAGUGAGCAGGCUUCUCAAAAAUGGAGGUGUUUAUAUGUUGAUAACAUAUGGUGAUCCUAAAGCAAGGAUGCCUCAUCUGAAUCGAUCAGUGUUUAACUGGAAAAUUGAGUUAUACAUUAUACCUAAACCGGGAUUUCAAAAGUCUGGAAAUCCCCCUUCUAAUGUGAAGCCAUGCUUGGAACCUAUUCCCCUAAGCGAGAAGGGACUACUUCCGGAAGAUUAUAUUAUGGAAGAUCCAGAUUCUCAUUUUAUAUACGUCUGUACAAAAGUUGAUGAAUCAGUGGAGCUGAGCAACAAAUCCGCAGAACCUUUGGCUGAGGAUUUACUAUUGGAAUCGCUUAGCCUCGGGAAGGAUUGAUUCUUCAAGUCUCGGGGUUUGAAGUUGGCUGAAACCAUGUAUGCUUACUGAAGGAUAUACUUUUGUUAUCUAGGCUUGUAGUGUAUCUUCUUUUUAUUGGGGUUUCAUAAUUCAAAAAAAGAGACUGUUUUGGG